AGUCGAGUGACCCUGCGCCGAAAAUGUACCGGGGCUAAAACAAUUUACCGAAGCUGUGGAUACCUUUAUAGGUAUGGUAGGAGCGCGCUCUAUGUGUGAUGAAGGUAUACCGUGAGGAGUGCUGGAACGCAUAGAAGUGAGAAUGCCGGUAUGAGUAGCGAAAGACAGGUGAGAAUCCUGUCCACCGUAAGACUAAGGUUUCCAGGGGAAGGCUCGUCCGCCCUGGGUUAGUCGGGACCUAAGGAGAGACCGAAAGGUGUAUCCGAUGGACAACAGGUUGAUAUUCCUGUACUAGAGUAUGUAGUGAUGGAGGGACGCAGUAGGCUAACUAAAGCAGACGAUUGGAAGAGUCUGUCUAAGCAGUGAGGUGUGAAUUGAGU
Molecule: ribosomal RNA, 380 nt
Filed under: Klebsiella pneumoniae
Lineage: Bacteria; Pseudomonadati; Pseudomonadota; Gammaproteobacteria; Enterobacterales; Enterobacteriaceae
Description: partial 23S ribosomal RNA
Rfam family: Bacterial large subunit ribosomal RNA
Source: RNAcentral